Molecule: ribosomal RNA, 467 nt
Filed under: uncultured bacterium
Lineage: Bacteria
Description: partial 16S ribosomal RNA
Rfam family: Bacterial small subunit ribosomal RNA
Source: RNAcentral
GAUGAACGCUGGCGGCGUGCUUAACACAUGCAAGUCGAACGGAAAGGCUCCUGCUUGCAGGGGUACUCGAGUGGCGAACGGGUGAGUAACACGUGGGUGAUCUGCCCUGCACUUCGGGAUAAGCCUGGGAAACUGGGGCUAAUACCGGAUAGGACCACAUUUUGGAUGGUGUGGUGGAAAGUUUUUCGGUGUGGGAUGAGCUCGCGGCCUAUCAGCUUGUUGAUGGGGUAAUGGCCUACCAAGGCGUCGACGGGUAGCCGGCAUGAGAGAGUGUACGGUCAGACCGUGAACAUACAACGCACCAUUAUCCUACGCAAGGCAGUAGAGGCGAAUAGAGAGCAUAGCGCGCAAGAGUGAGGUACGGAUGCCCCGCUGGUGAUGAAAGCCUUGCAUUGGUAAUCGCCAAAGGGUAGGAAUGCAACGAUUUUCUGACGGUACUUUAAGAAGAAGCACCGGCUAACUACGUG